RNAcentral lists this ribosomal RNA (429 nucleotides) under Actinomycetes bacterium. Its description in RNAcentral is "Actinobacteria bacterium partial 16S ribosomal RNA". It matches the Rfam family "Bacterial small subunit ribosomal RNA", at positions 355 to 776 of the family's 1533-position model. The record is from RNAcentral. Lineage: Bacteria; Bacillati; Actinomycetota; Actinomycetes. RNAcentral also lists the same sequence under 1 other name.
UAGGGAAUCUUCCGCAAUGGGCGAAAGCCUGACGGAGCAACGCCGCGUGAGUGAUGAAGGUCUUCGGAUCGUAAAACUCUGCUAUUAGGGAAGAACAAAUGUGUAAGUAACUAUGCACGUCUUGACGGUACCUAAUCAGAAAGCCACGGCUAACUACGUGCCAGCAGCCGCGGUAAUACGUAGGUGGCAAGCGUUAUCCGGAAUUAUUGGGCGUAAAGCGCGCGUAGGCGGUUUUUUAAGUCUGAUGUGAAAGCCCACGGCUCAACCGUGGAGGGUCAUUGGAAACUGGAAAACUUGAGUGCAGAAGAGGAAAGUGGAAUUCCAUGUGUAGCGGUGAAAUGCGCAGAGAUAUGGAGGAACACCAGUGGCGAAGGCGACUUUCUGGUCUGUAACUGACGCUGAUGUGCGAAAGCGUGGGGAUCAAACAGG